Molecule: long non-coding RNA, 1763 nt
Filed under: Mytilus galloprovincialis (Mediterranean mussel)
Lineage: Eukaryota; Metazoa; Mollusca; Bivalvia; Mytilida; Mytilidae
Source: RNAcentral
CCCCAUGUUCUAAUUUUAGCUAUGGCCGCCAUCUUGGUUUGUUGGCCGAGUUACCAGACACAUUUUUUAAACAAAAUACCCCAAUGAUGAUUAUGGCCAAGUUUGGAUUAAUUUGGCCAGUAGUUUCAUCAGAGAAGAUUUUUCUAAAAGAUUACUGAGAUUUACGAAAAAUGGUUAAAAAUUUACUAUAAAGGGCAAUAACUCCUAAAGAGGUCAACUGACCAUUUUGGUCAUGUUGACUUAUUUGUAGAUCUUACUUUGCUGAACAUUAUUGUUGUUUACAGUUUAUCUCUAUCUAUAAUAAUAUUCAAGAUAAUAACCAAAAACAGCAAAAUUUCCUUAAAAUUACCAUUUCAGGGGCAGCAACCCAACAACGGAAUGUCCGAUUCAUCUGAAAAUUUCAGGGCAGAUAGAUCUUGACCUGAUGAACAAUUUUACUGUGUGUCAGAUUUGCUCUAAAUGCUUUGGUUUUUGAGUUAUAAGCCAAAAACUGCAUUUUACCCCUAUGUUCUAUUUUUAGCCAUGGCGGCCAUCUUGGUUGGUUGGGCGGGGCACCGGACACAUUUUUUAAACUAGAUACCCCAAUGAUGAUUAUGGCCAAGUUUGGUUAAAUUUGACCCAGUAGUUUCAGAGGAGAAGAUUUUUCUAAAAGAUUACUAAGAUUUACGAAAAAUGGUUAAAAAUUGACUAUAAAGGGCAAUAACUCCUAAAGUGGUCAACUGACCAUUUUGAUCAUGUUGACUUAUUUGUAGAUCUUACUUUGCUGAACAUUAUUGCUGUUUACAGUUUAUCUCUAUCUAUAAUAAUAUUCAAGAUAAUAACCAAAAACAGCAAAAUUUCCUUAAAAUUACCAUUUCAGGGGCAGCAACCCAACAACGAAAUGUCCGAUUCAUCUGAAAAUUUCAGGGCAGAUAGAUCUUGACCUGUUGAACAAUAUUACCCCAUGUCAGAUUUGCUCUAAAUGCUUUGGUUUUUGAGUUAUAAGCCAAAAACUGCAUUUUACCCCUAUGUUCUAUUUUUAGCCAUGGCGGCCAUCUUGGUUGGUUGGGCGGGUCACCGGACACAUUUUUUAAACUAGAUACCCCAAUGAUGAUUAUGGCCAAGUUUGGUUAAAUUUGACCCAGUAGUUUCAGAGGAGAAGAUUUUUCUAAAAGAUUACUAAGAUUUACGAAAAAUGGUUAAAAAUUGACUAUAAAGGGCAAUAACUCCUAAAGUGGUCAACUGACCAUUUUGAUCAUGUUGACUUAUUUGUAGAUCUUACUUUGCUGAACAUUAUUGCUGUUUACAGUUUAUCUCUAUCUAUAAUAAUAUUCAAGAUAAUAACCAAAAACAGCAAAAUUUCCUUAAAAUUACCAUUUCAGGGGCAGCAACCCAACAACGAAAUGUCCGAUUCAUCUGAAAAUUUCAGGGCAGAUAGAUCUUGACCUGUUGAACAAUAUUACCCCAUGUCAGAUUUGCUCUAAAUGCUUUGGUUUUUGAGUUAUAAGCCAAAAACUGCAUUUUACCCCUAUGUUCUAUUUUUAGCCAUGGCGGCCAUCUUGGUUGGUUGGCCGGGUCACCGGACACAUUUUUUAAACUAGAUACCCCAAUGAUGAUUGUGGCCAAGUUUGGUUAAAUUUGGCCCAGUAGUUUCAGAGGAGAAGAUUUUUGUAAAAGUUAACGCAGGACGACGACGGACGACGACGACGACGACGACGACGGACGCCGGACGCCAAGUGAUGAGAAAAGCUCACUUGGCCCUUUGGGCCAGGUGAGCUAAAAAU